GAUGAACGCUGGCGGCGUGCCUAAUACAUGCAAGUCGAGCGAACGGACGAGAAGCUUGCUUCUCUGAUGUUAGCGGCGGACGGGUGAGUAACACGUGGAUAACCUACCUAUAAGACUGGGAUAACUUCGGGAAACCGGAGCUAAUACCGGAUGAUAUUUUGAACCGCAUGGUUCAAAAGUGAAAGACGCUCUUGCUGUCACUUAUAGAUGGAUCCGCGCUGCAUUAGCUAGUUGGUAAGGUAACGGCUUACCAAGGCAACGAUGCAUAGCCGACCUGAGAGGGUGAUCGGCCACACUGGAACUGAGACACGGUCCAGACUCCUACGGGAGGCAGCAGUAGGGAAUCUUCCGCAAUGGGCGAAAGCCUGACGGAGCAACGCCGCGUGAGUGAUGAAGGUCUUCGGAUCGUAAAACUCUGUUAUUAGGGAAGAACAUAUGUGUAAGUAACUGUGCACAUCUUGACGGUACCUAAUCAGAAAGCCACGGCUAACUACGUG
Molecule: ribosomal RNA, 497 nt
Filed under: uncultured bacterium
Lineage: Bacteria
Description: partial 16S ribosomal RNA
Rfam family: Bacterial small subunit ribosomal RNA
Source: RNAcentral